Molecule: ribosomal RNA, 434 nt
Filed under: uncultured Lachnospiraceae bacterium
Lineage: Bacteria; Bacillati; Bacillota; Clostridia; Lachnospirales; Lachnospiraceae
Description: partial 16S ribosomal RNA
Rfam family: Bacterial small subunit ribosomal RNA
Source: RNAcentral
ACGGAAGGCAGCAGUGGGGGAUAUUGCACAAUGGGGGGAACCCUGAUGCAGCGACGCCGCGUGAGCGAAGAAGUGCUUCGGCAUGUAAAGCUCUAUCAGCAGGGAAGAAAAUGACGGUACCUGACUAAGAAGCCCCGGCUAACUACGUGCCAGCAGCCGCGGUAAUACGUAGGGGGCAAGCGUUAUCCGGAUUUACUGGGUGUAAAGGGAGCGUAGACGGCGAGGCAAGUCUGAAGUGAAAGCUCGGGGCUCAACCCCGGAACUGCUUUUGAAACUGUUUUGCUAGAGUGCAGGAGAGGCAAGUGGAAUUCCUAGUGUAGCGGUGAAAUGCUUAGAUAUUAGGAGGAACACCAGUGGCGAAGGCGGCUUGCUGGACUGUAACUGACGUUGAGGCUCGAAAGCGUGGGGAGCAAACAGGAUUAGAUACCCUGGUA